RNAcentral lists this transfer RNA (73 nucleotides) under Dendronephthya gigantea. RNAcentral describes it as "tRNA-Val". It matches the Rfam family "tRNA". Rfam says of the family: Transfer RNA (tRNA) molecules are approximately 80 nucleotides in length. The record is from RNAcentral. Lineage: Eukaryota; Metazoa; Cnidaria; Anthozoa; Malacalcyonacea; Nephtheidae.
UUUUUCGUAGUGUAGUGGUUAUCACGUGCGCUUUACACGCGCAAGGUCCCCAGUUCAAUUCUGGGCGUAAACA